CCACCUCUACAUAAUGGUCAAAACAACUUUUUGUGUCACAGAAAUAAGUACGAGGCCCUUUCUUCUUCGUUAGACCCUCAACAAUCUCUUCCUCAUUGUAAACAACAUUAACAGCAGCAGAACCACCAUAAUCUCCAGCUAGUAAUGGUGACCAGAAGUCCUUAUCGUAACCUCUAGGCCUCACUGAAAUCUCGUCCACUUCAAAGUUCCCUUCUUCAUCUGUUGCAAAGCUAAAACCACUCUCAUCAUCGCCUAAGCUAGUCCCUCCUUUACCACCCUCACUCAUUAUUGUCUCCUCUAAUUUCUCCAC
Molecule: long non-coding RNA, 310 nt
Filed under: Brassica napus (rape)
Lineage: Eukaryota; Viridiplantae; Streptophyta; Magnoliopsida; Brassicales; Brassicaceae
Description: long non-coding RNA (BNAP_LNC022158)
Source: RNAcentral